UUCUGUGCGCUUGGGGCAAUGAUGCAGCUAAUGAGGUUCUAACCGAGGCGCAUCUAUUGCUGGUUGAAAAUUAUUUCCUAACCCUCUCUUGGGUUGAGGUUCAGUCUUGUGCUCUUGAGAAUUUUUUAAAGGGUUAACUCUUUGAUUAGACC
This is a small nuclear RNA of Pyrus x bretschneideri (Chinese white pear), 152 nucleotides long. RefSeq annotates it as U4 spliceosomal RNA. The transcript has a single exon. NCBI's taxonomy places the organism in Eukaryota, Viridiplantae, Streptophyta, Magnoliopsida, Rosales, Rosaceae. The record is from RefSeq and is a predicted model, not a curated record.